RNAcentral lists this ribosomal RNA (497 nucleotides) under uncultured bacterium. RNAcentral's name for it is "partial 16S ribosomal RNA". It matches the Rfam family "Bacterial small subunit ribosomal RNA", at positions 28 to 507 of the family's 1533-position model. The record is from RNAcentral.
GAUGAACGCUGGCGGCGUGCUUAAUACAUGCAAGUCGAGCGAACAGACGAGGAGCUUGCUCCUCUGACGUUAGCGGCGGACGGGUGAGUAACACGUGGAUAACCUACCUAUAAGACUGGGAUAACUUCGGGAAACCGGAUCUAACACCGGAUAAUAUAUUGAACCGCAUGGUUCAAUAGUGAAAGACGGUUUUGCUGUCACUUAUAGAUGGUUCCGCGCCGCAUUAGCUAGUUGGUAAGGUAACGGCUUACCAAGGCGACGCUGCGUAGCCGACCUGAGAGGAUGAUCGGCCACACUGGAACUGAGACACGGUCCAGAGUCCUACGGGAGGCAGCAGUAGGGAAUCUUCGGCAAUGGGGGAAAGCCUGACGGAGCAACGCCGCGUGAGUGAUGAAGGUCUUCGGAUCGUAAAACUCUGUUAUUAGGGAAGAACAAAUGUGUAAGUAAAUAUGCACGUCUUGACGGUACCGGAUCAGAAAGCCACGGCUAACUACGUG